RNAcentral lists this ribosomal RNA (570 nucleotides) under Salmonella enterica. RNAcentral describes it as "partial 23S ribosomal RNA". It matches the Rfam family "Bacterial large subunit ribosomal RNA", at positions 711 to 1225 of the family's 2925-position model. The record is from RNAcentral. Lineage: Bacteria; Pseudomonadati; Pseudomonadota; Gammaproteobacteria; Enterobacterales; Enterobacteriaceae. RNAcentral also lists the same sequence under 1 other name.
AGACCCGAAACCCGGUGAUCUAGCCAUGGGCAGGUUGAAGGUUGGGUAACACUAACUGGAGGACCGAACCGACUAAUGUUGAAAAAUUAGCGGAUGACCUGUGGCUGGGGGUGAAAGGCCAAUCAAACCGGGAGAUAGCUGGUUCUCCCCGAAAGCUAUUUAGGUAGCGCCUCGUGAAUUCAUCUCCGGGGGUAGAGCACUGUUUCGGCUAGGGGGCCAUCCCGGCUUACCAACCCGAUGCAAACUGCGAAUACCGGAGAAUGUUAUCACGGGAGACACACGGCGGGUGCUAACGUCCGUCGUGAAGAGGGAAACAACCCAGACCGCCAGCUAAGGUCCCAAAGUCAUGGUUAAGUGGGAAACGAUGUGGGAAGGCCCAGACAGCCAGGAUGUUGGCUUAGAAGCAGCCAUCAUUUAAAGAAAGCGUAAUAGCUCACUGGUCGAGUCGGCCUGCGCGGAAGAUGUAACGGGGCUAAACCAUGCACCGAAGCUGCGGCAGCGAACGUAUCACCCAAGACAACUUUACGGAGUUGACGAUUGACGGAGCGAAGCGACGUCAAAGCGUUCAUU